UUGUAGAGACAUUUUGCUUCUUCCUCGUACCUCUGCAGCCUCGCCGUCCUCCGCCGGCCGGAAAUCGUCUCCGCCGGCGGCGAUGCCCCAAAUCCACCCAAAAUUACAUCACAGGUGCUCCUCCGCCCCCUCUCCCCAUAUCUGGCCUUAGUUUUUUCCAAAUCCUAACCAAAACUCUCGAAUUUCAUAUCGAAAGUCCGGCCAAAAACGCAAAAUAAUCCAAUCUCAACCAAAUUAACACUGUUUGUUCUCCUCACUCUCCUCUUUACGAAUCCGUAGCCCUUGACCCUCGAAUCAUCUGGGAAGUUCGCGAAUAUUGGAUUAAAGGCCGCCCCAAAACUCUAGUUUCGUGAAUCGGGGUUUCUGUCGAUGGCUUGACCAUUAUAAGGUUUAGCCGUGUAUUUUCUCGUGGAAAACACACGGUUAAACACUAAUAUUGGUCAAGCAACUUCAAGCCAAGUCGUCUAAGGUACUUGGCUCGACUAUGAAUGACGUUUGUGAUCUCAAGCUUAAUAUAGCCAAUUGAAAAGAAAUUGAAGUGCCAGUUGUCUAUUUGUUUCAGUUUGCAUACAGUUUCAUAUUUGUGUUCAUGUGAAAUUUUAUAAUGUGUAUAUCAAUUAGGACUGUCUGAUUAAGAUUACUUCUCCUGCCAUGGACUGUUGAAAUUUGUACUCAAAUCAGAUCUCUUAGGGCUGUUAAUUGAUGUUUGUUAUUCGUGGACACAGCGUGGUCUAAUGUUUGGUUUUCAUGGUAA
Nicotiana tabacum (common tobacco) is the source of this 754-nucleotide long non-coding RNA. RefSeq lists it as uncharacterized. NCBI's taxonomy places the organism in Eukaryota, Viridiplantae, Streptophyta, Magnoliopsida, Solanales, Solanaceae. The record is from RefSeq and is a predicted model, not a curated record.